This 3397-nucleotide long non-coding RNA is filed under the name Salvia miltiorrhiza (redroot sage). RNAcentral's name for it is "long non-coding RNA (SMIL_LNC007444)". The record is from RNAcentral. Lineage: Eukaryota; Viridiplantae; Streptophyta; Magnoliopsida; Lamiales; Lamiaceae.
UAUUUUUGUCUCUCCCAAUUCCCUAAACCUAAAACCAAUUCCUCUUCCCCAUUCUCUCACAUCCGACUCUCCUCUCCCAGCCGCAAUUCGCCGUACUGGUCACCUCCACCAUCGCCCUAGACUGACUCGCGCACACAACACAGUCCGCCGCCUUCCUUGGGGACGGCGAAAUCGCCGCUCCUCCCUCUCUUUCACGCAAUCCGCCCACUCCUCCCUUCCUGCAGUUCCCGGCGAGCAACGGUGAAGACCGCCACCGCCGUCUCAACCCCCGAUUCUCCCUCGCCCUUCCCCCCUAUCUACAGAACCUUACGGCCGCAGUGGCUCAAGACCGCGGCCAUGGUCGUCCGCCACCGUGCCGCCCCGCGCCGGCACCCUCCGCAUCUCCUUUCCCCCGACCACACAAGCUCUCCUUUCCCCCGACCACAGCCAUGGCACAGCCGCUGUCAAUGGGUGUCUCGCACAUUUGAACUAAAGGUUUUUCGUCGGUCCUCCUGUCUUGACCCGCAACAUAUAUUUGUCAAUCUCCGUUUCAUAUUUUUUUUCUCAUUGCAGGCGCAAAUUUCUCAGUUUUCUCGAAUUUCUCAAGGUGAUCUCCCUCCCCCUCUCCUCUUGUGGCAUAAUGAAUCUCAACGAUACAUUUACAAUUCAUUGAUUCUCGGAAUCGUAUUAUGUUGAAUUCCUCCGUUUCUUUUUUCCUUUUUCUCAAUUUUCUGCUAUGUUGUAGAUAGGGGAUUCAAUGAUUGCUUGAUUCUGGAGGGAAAUUAGGGUUGAUAAGAUAGUGAGGAAAGGGGAAAAAAAAGAUGGGUUAUUUCAAGCAGGCGCUAAGAAGCAUCGAUGCGUUCCCGAGAGCUGAAGACCAUCUGCUGCAAAAGACAAAAUCCAGGCCUUUGGUAUGAUCUUCCAUCUUUUCUCCCCCAAAAUUUAAAACUUUCGCUUUCAAGUCGGUGCCGCCUUAACCACCAUUCUCUAAUCCAACCAUGGGACGGGUCAUAGCCAGCUCCAAUGGCUGCCCAGCCGCAUCCGCAUCUAUGCAACGCCGACCACCACAUUGACCCCUAGCCCUCACAUGGUAAGUAUUAAAGAUUAUGUUUGACUAUUGUGAAUAUGGAAUGAUUAGUGGAAUGAUUAGUGCUUAAUUUUAGAAAUAACAAAUUUUGGAAAUAUAUAUGCAAUUAUAUGAUUUAGCUUUCAAUCAAUAAUCAACCAAUUUUUAGGUACAAGUUUUAAAAUGGAAACUUUGUAAUGCUUCGAGUUUUACAGCUAACGCCCGGUAUUUGUUCUAUUUUUUAUUUGUGUUUCUUCUUCUUUUUCUUGGUAUUGUUAUAAACUGAAUUUUAUGUACUCUUUUGUUCCUUAAAAAAAGAAUAUGUUUUGUUUCUUAUAUAGUGUGUGGAUGUGAUUGUGAAUGGGUUAGAGAUAUUGGCUCCUCGUGUGGAGUAAUAGUAAUAUUUUAUUGCCGCAUUAAGUUUACAGCAGCACAUUCUACUGUCUUCUUGCUUAUUGCUCAUUUUGCUCAUUUUUCAAGGUAUACAGUAUAUCAAUUUUAUUUUAUUACUAUUUUUUUACUCAAUUAUCAGAAUAUAUGUAUGAUGAACAAUUUGGCAAAUUUUAUUUUAUUUGAGAUUUGAAUUUUCUUGGAGUAUGAGAGGAACAAAGAGAUGUGGCAUGAGCUGGAAGAGCUUAUGCUUGAUAUCUUUGUUGUCUUGAUUGGGUAAUUAUAUUAUUUGCUCACCAUUAAGUGUGUUUGGAGUGAUUAAAAAUUUACAUAUUAUAAGAAUGUGAUUGUGUUUUGUCGAGGGAUUUUAAGAUAUGGAAUUCAAAUUCGUAGUUGAAUCACUUGAGUUUUUAAAGUUCAUAAACUCUUCUUCACACACACAUCGUUUUUUCAUCUUCUUUGCUAUUGAAAUGCCUUGAAAUAAAUGAUAGAAUUUUUUUUUCAUCUAACUACUUUCAAUUUUUCUCCAAUAUAAGAUUCUUACAUUGUUUGGGUUCUGCUGUGUACUAGAAUUUCUGCAGCUGCUAUGGGACUGUUGUAGAUGCUGCAAACAAGGUAUUUUCUUUCAAUUUGUUUGAUUUUUAUUCUUGAGAAUCCUCUUUUUCAAAUUUAGUUAAAACAAAUAAAUAGAGCUAAUUGCAUCACUUAGUUUAUUGAGUCAGCUGUUUCUUUUUAGAAUCUUUGUAUCCAAAGAUCAACAUAUUUAAGUUCACAUCAGUUCACACAGUUUUGUGAUGCUUGAUUACUCUAUUUCAUUUAGCUUUUUUAUGCAUAUUCUAUCUCUGAGUUCUCUUUCUUCCUGUUUAAAAAGUUGUGAUAUCAACAAGGAAAAAAAGUAGAAUCAGUGAUUGAUUAGGAGCUGGAAACUUAUAUUCUUUUCAUUAUACGGUUUCUCUUUAUUUAAUUGCAUAUGCACAACUCCUAUGUAGAAUGCAGAAUCCUUUAAAAGCAAAAAUUCAGCAUUUUAAGAAAUGUAAAAUGAAAACGAUCUAGAUAAAAGGAGUGCAACUAUUAAUGCAAUAGUUUGAAUACUAUCCAAAUGGGGUAAAGACGUUUGGUAAGGAAAUACUUUUAGAUUUCGAAUGUAAACUGUUGUAGGUUGUGUGUGUGGAGUUGAUUACUUUGAUUAUUUAUUAUCCUAAGCUUGUGUCUCUCAAAUGUUGUAAGGGGGAAAAGGAAGCUCAUAGGGCUCCAUUUUCCUGCUCUCUAUGUUUGCUUUUGGCUGCAAUAUAGUGCGAGGUGGGAAGUCUUUGAAUGCAUUGUAAGGGUGGGUUUUCAGCAAAGGCCCAUAUGACACACCAUUGUGUGUUGGUUCUUAAUCCUGCUCCAUAUUGUUAAAUUGCAGAGCAUGAGUUUCAAAGAAAGAUGUUGGUCUGAAUAUUUUCUUAACUUUUGAAUUGCUGAAUUAAACAUAGUGCGAGGUGGGAAAUCUACCAUUCUCAUGCAGACAUAGAAUUAUCUGUGUUCUGCUUUUUUAAUUUGAUUCAUGUACUAUGAGCAUAUAUAACUUUUCUCUGUACAAAUGUUACAAUUACUAUGUAUGCACCUCUUUCAGGAUUUCUUUCUCAUAUUUAGAUCGAGUCUGAAAUCUUUAUCUGCUUCUAUGAGUCGUGGAAAUCAAUCAUCUUGGAAAUCGAGUAUUGCCAGCCAUGGGCCAAUGCAAACUGGAGAAAAGAUGGUAAUAAAGAAACAUUUGUUUCCUUGAGCUCAUUAAUGAUCCAGAUUCUUCACUUAUUAACAGAGGCUAUUCUUAUUUGAUCGACUGUACGCAAAAGGGGAAACUGGCAGUUAAAAGAAUUCAUUGUAAAUUGUGAUCACAUUGAUUUUAUUUUUUAUUUUUUGAAUUUUGUGUUUGUUGGAAGUAGUCAUUCUAUUAGACGAGACAACACCUUUUAAUUGAAU